GAUGAACGCUGGCGGCGUGCCUAAUACAUGCAAGUCGAGCGAACAGACGAGGAGCUUGCUCCUCUGACGUUAGCGGCGGACGGGUGAGUAACACGUGGAUAACCUACCUAUAAGACUGGGAUAACUUCGGGAAACCGGAGCUAAUACCGGAUAAUAUAUUGAACCGCAUGGUUCAAUAGUGAAAGACGGUUUUGCUGUCACUUAUAGAUGGAUCCGCGCCGCAUUAGCUAGUUGGUAAGGUAACGGCUUACCAAGGCAACGAUGCGUAGCCGACCUGAGAGGGUGAUCGGCCACACUGGAGCUGAGACACGGUCCAGACUACUACGGGAGGCAGCAGUAGGGAAUGUUCCGCAAUGGGCGAAAGCUUGACGGAGCAACGCCGCGUGAGUGAUGAAGGUCUUCGGAUCGUAAAACUCUGUUAUUAGGGAAGAACAAAUGUGUAAGUAACUAUGCACGUCUUGACGGUACCUAAUCAGAAAGCCACGGCUAACUACGUG
RNAcentral lists this ribosomal RNA (497 nucleotides) under uncultured bacterium. RNAcentral describes it as "partial 16S ribosomal RNA". It matches the Rfam family "Bacterial small subunit ribosomal RNA", at positions 28 to 507 of the family's 1533-position model. The record is from RNAcentral.